GGGAUUGUAGCUCAGUUGAUAGAGCGCUUGCCUAGCACACAUGAAGGCCUGGGUUUGAUUCCUAGAAUCUCA
RNAcentral lists this transfer RNA (72 nucleotides) under Mus musculus (house mouse). It matches the Rfam family "tRNA". From Rfam's summary of the family: Transfer RNA (tRNA) molecules are approximately 80 nucleotides in length. Their secondary structure includes four short double-helical elements and three loops (D, anti-codon, and T loops). Lineage: Eukaryota; Metazoa; Chordata; Mammalia; Rodentia; Muridae. The record is from Rfam by way of RNAcentral.